Molecule: unclassified non-coding RNA, 502 nt
Filed under: uncultured Acaulospora
Lineage: Eukaryota; Fungi; Glomeromycota; Glomeromycetes; Diversisporales; Acaulosporaceae
Description: SSU rRNA
Rfam family: Eukaryotic small subunit ribosomal RNA
Source: RNAcentral
CCAAUAGCGUAUAUUAAAGUUGUUGCAGUUAAAAAGCUCGUAGUUGAAUUUCGGAGUUUGUCGGUUGGUCGGGCUUCAUUGUCCGCACUGACCUGAUGGAUUCCUACCUUCUGAAUAACCAGCAUGCUAUUAAGUUAGUGCGUUGGGGAAGCAGAGCUAUUACCUUGAAAAAAUUAGAGUGCUUAAAGCAGGCUUAUGCUUGAAUAGAUUAGCAUGGAAUAAUAAAAUAGGACGGCAUGGUUCUAUUUUGUUGGUUUCUAGGAUCACCGUAAUGAUUAAUAGGGAUAGUUGGGGGCAUUAGUAUUCAAUUGUCAGAGGUGAAAUUCUUGGAUUUAUUGAAGACUAACUUCUGCGAAAGCAUUUGCCAAGGAUGUUUUCAUUAAUCAAGAACGAAAGUUAGGGGAUCGAAGACGAUCAGAUACCGUCGUAGUCUUAACCAUAAACUAUGCCGACUAGGGAUCGGACGAUGUUAAUUUUUUAAUGACUCGUUCGGCGCCUUACG